CCUUCUGUGGGAUGAAAGAGAGCAUCAGGCACUCAGCUCCAGAGCCAGGACUCCAGCCCCUGCCAGCAGCAGGUAGCACACACCAGGGAUUUUGUGAGUGUGGAAAAUAAGGGAAGCUGGCUUGGAAGGAUGGAAACAGAACAGAGGGAUGCUGGAAGCUCCGGACCCAAGAUUGAGCUCACUGUGCCUGGCAGGCCUGAGCUCUGAAGCUUUCGGGCUCAGGCUGUCCAUCAGCCUGGGAGUAUUCCCAUGGGUGUCACACUCUCAUCUUCAGGGACCUGGAUAAGACACCCCUGGUGGCUAAAGGGGACUGGCUAUUCAUCAGAAGCAUGCCAUGUAUCGGACACUGGCCUACAUGUAUUAAUAUAGCUUUAAAGACCUGGUUUUCAAAACCCACCCUGUGAUAUUCAUCUUUCACCCCCUGGCACAGUGACAGAGACCGAUCAUCACCUGUCCUCCAGCCCAUGCGGUCAAUGAUCAUGUCUGCUGGAUUGCUGUGCCUUUGGACCUAUCCUGGGAGAGUUAGCCCCAAGUGAUCUGAGAUCAGCUCCUCAUGACCGCAUUAUCCCCAAAGUCAGGGAUCUGUGGACACUGACCUGGUGGUCAUAACUCAGAGCUUGCUGCGUUGACUUUGGAAUCAUCAAGUACAGUAAGUUCUCCCGUGAGGGACAAACCCUGCUGAGCACCUCUCCCUAGGAUGACCAGCACCACAUCUUUGGGAUUGCAGGAUGGGGCCUUGGUUGAAUAUUCAUUUCCAUUCAAAAGACUAAUCGCUAACAAAAACUCAGGGUGGUGGUGGGGCUGCCAAAUUAGGCUGGAACCUUCUACCCUAAGUGGGCAAAGGGGGCACUCAAAAGACUCACUAAGCUCACAAAACUAAAGACUCCAGAGAUUCGUCUCCCCAAAGUUAUAUAAGCAAUAAGCAAUUUCUGGGAGAGAGGGGACUCUGCUGGGGGCUAAUGGCAAACUGUACAGGGAAACCUCAUUGACACUGCUCCCAUGCGUCAUCCUAGUGCUUCAGGAGGACCUCUAAGUGUUGCCCCUGCCCAAGUCAUCCACGCUCCUGUAAUUAACUCCUCAGCCAAGUGUCUCCAAGAAGCUCACCCAUUCACCAAGCUAGCCCUCUGAGGAAUCAUGUCUCUGAUCCAUCACCGACUGCCCGGCCUGAGGCAGACAGUUGUUCAAGUCUCCCCUGGGUACUGGAGCAAGGACCAACAGAACUAAAGUAUGUGUGGGAGGAGCAACAGCAUCACCCCUGAUGAGCGUGGUAAGAGAUACAGCUCAGGUUGAGCCAUCUGAGAGUAGAGCAUCCUUGGGGGAGGUCCCCAGGGGAGCCGUUUUUCUUUACAUGGCACAGAGUGACAAAUCCCCUUGGUAAAUGGGGUCUGACACUUGACUAUGGGGACACUCUGCAAACUGAUGAUGGACCAGCAGAGCCCUACUGAAAAGGGAGGAAGUACAUUGGGAAAGACAUACAGGUGCACCUUAACAUUGUCCACCCCAGUGGGUAGGGAAUGUGGGCAAAGUAAGGAAGGAUGGAUGCUUGGCUUGUCAUCCUCACACCUGGAGAGACAUAUGAGAAAGAGAAGAGCUAUUCCUGGCAUCCCAAAGGGAGACGCUGUACUGGGUAGUUUUGUGUCAACUUGACACAGGCUGGAGUUAUCACAGAGAAAGGAGCUUCAGUUGAGGAA
Mus caroli (Ryukyu mouse) is the source of this 1691-nucleotide long non-coding RNA. RefSeq lists it as uncharacterized. The record is from RefSeq and is a predicted model, not a curated record. Lineage: Eukaryota; Metazoa; Chordata; Mammalia; Rodentia; Muridae.